RNAcentral lists this ribosomal RNA (550 nucleotides) under uncultured Funneliformis. RNAcentral's name for it is "SSU rRNA". It matches the Rfam family "Eukaryotic small subunit ribosomal RNA", at positions 548 to 1098 of the family's 1831-position model. The record is from RNAcentral. Lineage: Eukaryota; Fungi; Glomeromycota; Glomeromycetes; Glomerales; Glomeraceae.
UUGGAGGGCAAGUCUGGUGCCAGCAGCCGCGGUAAUUCCAGCUCCAAUAGCGUAUAUUAAAGUUGUUGCAGUUAAAAAGCUCGUAGUUGAAUUUCGGGAUCAAUGUUUCGGUCAUGCCGUUGGUAUGUACUGAUAUUAUUGGUUUCUCACCUUCUAAAGAACCGUAAUGCCAUUAAUUUGGUGUCACGGGGAAUUAGGACUGUUACCUUGAAAAAAUUAGAGUGUUUAAAGCAGGCUAACGCUUGAAUACAUUAGCAUGGAAUAAUGAAAUAGGACAUCGCAUUCUAUUUUGUUGGUUUCUAGGAUCGAUGUAAUGAUUAAUAGGGAUAGUUGGGGGCAUUAGUAUUCAAUUGUCAGAGGUGAAAUUCUUGGAUUUAUUGAAGACUAACUACUGCGAAAGCAUUUGCCAAGGAUGUUUUCAUUAAUCAAGAACGAAAGUUAGGGGAUCGAAGACGAUCAGAUACCGUCGUAGUCUUAACCAUAAACUAUGCCGACUAGGGAUCGGAUGAUGUUGAUUUUUUAAUGACUCAUUCGGCGCCUUACGGGAAAC